Molecule: ribosomal RNA, 91 nt
Filed under: Methylovorus glucosotrophus
Lineage: Bacteria; Pseudomonadati; Pseudomonadota; Betaproteobacteria; Nitrosomonadales; Methylophilaceae
Source: RNAcentral
ACCACCCCUUCCCAUCUCGAACAGGGCCGUGAAACGAUUCUGCGCCAAUGAUAGUAUACUUCUCGUAUGCGAAAGUAGGUCACCGCCAAGC